GACGAACGCUGGCGGCGUGCUUAACACAUGCAAGUCGAACGGAAAGGCCCUGCUUUUGUGGGGUGCUCGAGUGGCGAACGGGUGAGUAACACGUGAGUAACCUGCCCUUGACUUUGGGAUAACUUCAGGAAACUGGGGCUAAUACCGGAUAGGAGCUCCUGCUGCAUGGUGGGGGUUGGAAAGUUUCGGCGGUUGGGGAUGGACUCGCGGCUUAUCAGCUUGUUGGUGGGGUAGUGGCUUACCAAGGCUUUGACGGGUAGCCGGCCUGAGAGGGUGACCGGCCACAUUGGGACUGAGAUACGGCCCAGACUCCUACGGGAGGAAGCAGUGGGGAAUAUUGCACAAUGGGCGGAAGCCUGAUGCAGCAACGCCGCGUGCGGGAUGACGGCCUUCGGGUUGUAGGCCGCUUUCGCCUGUGACGAAGCGUGAGUGACGGUAAUGGGUAAAGAAGCACGGGCUAACUACGUG
Molecule: ribosomal RNA, 468 nt
Filed under: uncultured bacterium
Lineage: Bacteria
Description: partial 16S ribosomal RNA
Rfam family: Bacterial small subunit ribosomal RNA
Source: RNAcentral